AUGAAGCGGCGCCAAGGUUCUGGCAUUCUCUGUGACAAGAGAGUGCCACAAAAGCUAAAAGGCAAGUUCUACAGGACGGCGGUUCGACCCGCAAUGUUGUAUGGCGCGGAGUGUUGGCCGACUAAAAGGCGACAUGUUCAACAGUUAGGUGUGGCGGAGAUGCGUAUGUUGAGAUGGAUGUGUGGCCACACGAGGAAGGAUCGAGUCCGGAAUGAUGAUAUACGAGAUAGAGUUGGGGUAGCACCAAUUGAGGAGAAGCUUGUCCAACAUCGUUUGAGAUGGUUUGGGCAUAUUCAGCGCAGGCCUCCAGAAGCUCCAGUGCAUAGCGGACGGCUAAAGCGUGCGGAGAAUGUCAAGAGAGGGCGGGGUCGGCUGAUUUUGACAUGGGAGGAGUCCGUUAAGAGAGGCCUGAAGGAUUGGAGUAUCGACAAAGAGCUAGCUAUGGACAGGGGUGCGUGGAAGCUUGCUAUCCAUGUGCCAGAGCCAUGA
This 489-nucleotide ribosomal RNA is filed under the name Triticum aestivum (bread wheat). RNAcentral describes it as "partial small subunit ribosomal RNA". Lineage: Eukaryota; Viridiplantae; Streptophyta; Magnoliopsida; Poales; Poaceae. The record is from RNAcentral.